UGAGGAAUAUUGGACAAUGGAUGGAAAUCUGAUCCAGCCAUGCCGCGUGCAGGAAGACGGCCCUAUGGGUUGUAAACUGCUUUUGUAUGGGAGCAAUAAGGACUACGUGUAGUUUGAUGAGAGUACCAUACGAAUAAGCAUCGGCUAACUCCGUGCCUGCAGCCGCGGUAAUACGGAGGAUGCGAGCGUUAUCCGGAUUUAUUGGGUUUAAAGGGUGCGUAGGCGGCGAUAUAAGUCAGUGGUGAAAUAUUUCGGCUUAACCGAGAGACUGCCAUUGAUACUGUGUUGCUAGAAUAUGGUUGCUGUGAGUGGAAUGUGUGGUGUAGCGGUGAAAUGCUUAGAUAUCACACAGAAUAUCGAUUGCGAAGGCAGCUCACAAAGCCAUUAUUGACGCUGAGGCACGAAAGUGUGGGGAUCAAAC
This 421-nucleotide ribosomal RNA is filed under the name uncultured bacterium. RNAcentral's name for it is "bacterial SSU rRNA". It matches the Rfam family "Bacterial small subunit ribosomal RNA", at positions 355 to 773 of the family's 1533-position model. The record is from RNAcentral.